AAAUACCACCCUUUAAUGUUUGAUGUUCUAACGUGGACCCGUAAUCCGGGUUGCGGACAGUGUCUGGUGGGUAGUUUGACUGGGGCGGUCUCCUCCUAAAGAGUAACGGAGGAGCACGAAGGUUGGCUAAUCCUGGUCGGACAUCAGGAGGUUAGUGCAAUGGCAUAAGCCAGCUUGACUGCGAGCGUGACGGCGCGAGCAGGUGCGAAAGCAGGUCAUAGUGAUCCGGUGGUUCUGAAUGGAAGGGCCAUCGCUCAACGGAUAAAAGGUACUCCGGGGAUAACAGGCUGAUACCGCCCAAGAGUUCAUAUCGACGGCGGUGUUUGGCACCUCGAUGUCGGCUCAUCACAUCCUGGGGCUGAAGUAGGUCCCAAGGGUAUGGCUGUUCGCCAUUUAAAGUGGUACGCGAGCUGGGUUUAGAACGUCGUGAGACAGUUCGGUCCCUA
Molecule: ribosomal RNA, 446 nt
Filed under: Escherichia coli
Lineage: Bacteria; Pseudomonadati; Pseudomonadota; Gammaproteobacteria; Enterobacterales; Enterobacteriaceae
Description: partial 23S ribosomal RNA
Rfam family: Bacterial large subunit ribosomal RNA
Source: RNAcentral